RNAcentral lists this ribosomal RNA (291 nucleotides) under uncultured bacterium. RNAcentral's name for it is "partial 16S ribosomal RNA". It matches the Rfam family "Bacterial small subunit ribosomal RNA", at positions 773 to 1060 of the family's 1533-position model. The record is from RNAcentral.
GUGGAUUAGAUACCCUGGUAGUCCACACUGUAAACGAUGAUUGCUAGGUGUGGGGGGUCUGACCCCCUCCGUGCCGGAGCUAACGCAAUAAGCAAUCCACCUGGGGAGUACGGCCGCAAGGUUGAAACUCAAAGGAAUUGACGGGGGCCCGCACAAGCAGUGGAUUAUGUGGGUUAAUUCGAAGCAACGCGAAGAACCUUACCAGGUCUUGACAUCCAACCAACGAAGCAGAGAUGCAUCAGGUGCCCUUCGGGGAAAGUUGAGACAGGUGGUGCACGGCCGUCGACAACU